GCUCCAGUGGCGCAACUGGUUAGCGCGCCGUACUUAUAGACAAGUAUCGUCCCUUGCUAGGAAAUGCGGAGGCUGUGAGUUCGAUCCUCACCUGGAGCA
RNAcentral lists this transfer RNA (99 nucleotides) under Dreissena polymorpha. It matches the Rfam family "tRNA". Rfam says of the family: Transfer RNA (tRNA) molecules are approximately 80 nucleotides in length. Their secondary structure includes four short double-helical elements and three loops (D, anti-codon, and T loops). Lineage: Eukaryota; Metazoa; Mollusca; Bivalvia; Myida; Dreissenidae. The record is from Rfam by way of RNAcentral.